CGGAUAGCAUCAUAGCAAGACAAAAUAGGAAAUAUUUUAUUUACACAAGAAUUGUUUUAGUGAUCCUUUUAAGUAAAGGACAAUGUUUAUGUUUGAUGAUUCUAAAUCUUGAUGAAGUAGACAUGGAUAUUAUUGAUCCAUUCUUAUCUCAUAUUUCAUUGGUGUGGGGUUAAUCUAAAAUUCUAAUCAUAGACUUGUUUUUCCAAUUGAUUUUUGUCUUUUGUCAAUG
RNAcentral lists this long non-coding RNA (229 nucleotides) under Trifolium pratense (red clover). RNAcentral's name for it is "long non-coding RNA (TPRA_LNC014061)". The record is from RNAcentral. Lineage: Eukaryota; Viridiplantae; Streptophyta; Magnoliopsida; Fabales; Fabaceae.